GCGGCGCCAUGCUGGAUGCUGCCGCCUGGAGCGCUCCAGAGACUACUGCCCGGGUUUGGAUUUCGCCUCUGGGCCCUGGCGUCCCUUCACAGACCACCACGCUAGUGCGUGGCCCUGUCGGAGCUCAGAUGGAACAAGUCGCCAUCUCUUCCUUCAGAAUUCCUAUUCUAGGAGCUGGCCCCCAACUACGACUCCGUGAAAAGAGAGCCCCUUGGGUGCCACAACUUUUGACUAGUGGUGAAAAAACCCAUCAAAUGCCCUCGCAGGCCAGAACAUCCUAACCUGAGGACCCAGCCAUCCUGGGAGUAGGGACGGAGGUCAGUGAGGACCUCCCUGAGAAAGUGAGCUGAACAGUGGCUUGAAGAGGAAGAGUCGGGUGCAUGUCUUGGGGGCCAGCACUGUGGUGUAGCAGGUAAAGCCACCACCUGCAGUGCCAGCAUCCCAUAUGGGCACCGGUUCCAGUCCCGGCUGCUCCUCUUCCCAUCCAGCUCUCUGCUAUGGCCUGGGAAAGUAGAAGAUGGCCCAAGUCCUUGGGCCCUGCACCCGCGUGGGAGACCCAGAGGAGGCUCCUGGCUCCUGGCUCCUGGCUUCGGAUCAGCACAGCUCUGGCUGUUGCGGCCAACUGGGGAAUGAACCAGCAGAUGGAAGACCUUUCUUUCUCUCUCUGCCUCUGCUUCUCUGUGUAACUCUUUCAUAUAAAUAAUAAAAUAAAUCUUCAAAAAAAUCA
Oryctolagus cuniculus (rabbit) is the source of this 727-nucleotide non-coding RNA. The record is from RefSeq and is a predicted model, not a curated record. Lineage: Eukaryota; Metazoa; Chordata; Mammalia; Lagomorpha; Leporidae.